Molecule: non-coding RNA, 45 nt
Filed under: Schistosoma margrebowiei
Lineage: Eukaryota; Metazoa; Platyhelminthes; Trematoda; Strigeidida; Schistosomatidae
Source: RNAcentral
AUUCAGCUGAUGAGUCCCAAACAGGACGGAAAGCGCAUUCUGGAU